UGGGGAAUAUUGGACAAUGGGGGCAACCCUGAUCCAGCAAUGCCGCGUGAGUGAUGAAGGCCUUCGGGUUGUAAAGCUCUUUUGCCAGGGACGAUGAUGACGGUACCUGGAGAAUAAGCCCCGGCUAACUUCGUGCCAGCAGCCGCGGUAAUACGAAGGGGGCAAGCGUUGUUCGGAAUUACUGGGCGUAAAGGGCGCGUAGGCGGCCGAUCAAGUCAGGCGUGAAAUUCCCGGGCUCAACCUGGGGCUGCGCUUGAUACUGAUUGGCUUGAAUGCGGGAGAGGAUAGUGGAAUUCCCAGUGUAGAGGUGAAAUUCGUAGAUAUCAGGAGGAACACCGGUGCGAAGGCGGUUCUCUGGGCAUUACCUGACGCUGAGGAGCGAAAGCAUGGGGAGCGAACA
RNAcentral lists this ribosomal RNA (400 nucleotides) under uncultured Dongia sp. Its description in RNAcentral is "bacterial SSU rRNA". It matches the Rfam family "Bacterial small subunit ribosomal RNA", at positions 355 to 774 of the family's 1533-position model. Lineage: Bacteria; Pseudomonadati; Pseudomonadota; Alphaproteobacteria; Rhodospirillales; Dongiaceae. The record is from RNAcentral.